Molecule: long non-coding RNA, 1193 nt
Organism: Lolium rigidum
Lineage: Eukaryota; Viridiplantae; Streptophyta; Magnoliopsida; Poales; Poaceae
Exons: 6
Source: RefSeq, a predicted model, not a curated record
CAAUCCCCACGCGACCUUCUCCUGCCGCGUCCGGCGGCGCUGCUCCGCCUCCCUGGCCGCCACCGGCCCUUCUCCUCCCAAUCGGCGUCCCUCGCGCCUCUCCUCGUCCCCGCAGCCAAGAAGUAGGAAGUCAGGGCAGAUAACGGGAUCAGAAGAUGAUCAUCCCCAACUGGGUUUGGUCAUUCUCAAGCAAGCUGGACCGAAGAUCCUGUUGGAAAUCCAGGUUGAGCAUGACUGAGCCAAAGAUCAGUGAACUUCAUAUGAUAAAGAAGCGGAAAAUUCUACGAGAUAUGACAUGCCCAGAAUUCUGCAGUGGUGCUGGAAAGAAAUGAAGAUCUCAGAAUUACUUACAUUGAUGUUGUCGAGAGCAUUAGGAAUGGAAAGCCUAUCACCGAGUAUUACUUGAAGCUUGUUAAAUAUGACAUACAUGGAAAGGACAAGGAAUGAUGUUUCUAGCUAUACAACUAAAGAGGAAACACAUUAGAGAAGAUAAUGAGGUAGGUGAAUCAAAUGAUUGGAUGAUGAGCCCUGGGUAUACUAUCCAUGCACCUCUGUGCAAACACCAUCUCCUUUCACUGAGCAAAGCCAAGGUGACACCUUUUCCGACUCCUUCAAAUUUCUCCAGGUCAAAUAUUUGUGGGUGAUUACAGUUAGCAAGGGCUUCACCAAUCUGAGAGCGACAAACAUGCAAAGAUACACCCCAUGGGUAGGAGGAAGUAAAACUUCUUGUCUUCAAUCAGAAUGAGGUUCGCAGGGUACGUGCAAGACCCGCUCUUCCCCGAGAGCAUACCAGGACUGCCAUCGCAAGUUGGUGUCCCUUCUCUUCUCCACUAUCGUCUUCUAUGCCAUGGUUGUAGGCUCUCUUCUCUAUCGUCUCGUGGGCUUUCAUCAUCUCAUCGAUAUGGAAUUGGGGAUUUUAGAACAUGUCAGGCUUGACAAUUUAAUCGAUUGCAUUUUAUAAGUUUGAGGACUGAAGUGUUCCCACCAGACAAAUUUUACGUACAAAGUACUAGAAUUAUAAUUUAGUAUUUAAACUCUGUUAGUUAGUAUAUAAAUUUUACGUGCAAUACUUGCACCAAAGAGUUAUUUUCACCCGGCUAGAGGAGGCAUAGAUUCUGAAUUGUCUGGCUAUUUAUUGGCCCAGUAUACAAUUUGACUGGAGCUACGAGAAGUAUUUUUAUUAGACUUAUUCA